AGUGAACGCUGGCGGUAGGCCUAACACAUGCAAGUCGAACGGCAGCACAGUAAGAGCUUGCUCUUACGGGUGGCGAGUGGCGGACGGGUGAGGAAUACAUCGGAAUCUACUUUUUCGUGGGGGAUAACGUAGGGAAACUUACGCUAAUACCGCAUACGACCUACGGGUGAAAGCAGGGGAUCUUCGGACCUUGCGCGAUUGAAUGAGCCGAUGUCGGAUUAGCUAGUUGGCGGGGUAAAGGCCCACCAAGGCGACGAUCCGUAGCUGGUCUGAGAGGAUGAUCAGCCACACUGGAACUGAGACACGGUCCAGACUCCUACGGGAGGCAGCAGUGGGGAAUAUUGGACAAUGGGCGCAAGCCUGAUCCAGCCAUACCGCGUGGGUGAAGAAGGCCUUCGGGUUGUAAAGCCCUUUUGUUGGGAAAGAAAAGCAGCAGGUUAAUACCCCGCUGUUCUGACGGUACCCAAAGAACAAGCACCGGCUAAGUUCGUG
RNAcentral lists this ribosomal RNA (492 nucleotides) under uncultured bacterium. RNAcentral describes it as "partial 16S ribosomal RNA". It matches the Rfam family "Bacterial small subunit ribosomal RNA", at positions 29 to 507 of the family's 1533-position model. The record is from RNAcentral.